UACGGGAGGCAGCAGUGGGGAAUAUUGCGCAAUGGGCGGAAGCCUGACGCAGCGACGCCGCGUGGGGGAUGACGGCCUUCGGGUUGUAAACCACUUUCAGCAGGGACGAAGCGGGAGUGACGGUACCUGCAGAAGAAGCACCGGCCAACUACGUGCCAGCAGCCGCGGUAAUACGUAGGGUGCAAGCGUUGUCCAGAAUUAUUGGGCGUAAAGAGCUCGUAGGCGGUCUGUCACGUCGGCUGUGAAAUCCCGAGGCUCAACCUCGGGUCUGCAGUCGAUACGGGCAAACUAGAGUAUUGCAGGGGAGACUGGAAUUCCUGGUGUAGCGGUGAAAUGCGCAGAUAUCAGGAGGAACACCGGUGGCGAAGGCGGGUCUCUGGGCAAUAACUGACGCUGAGGAGCGAAAGCGUAGGGAGCGAACAGGAUUAGAUACCCUGGUAG
This 441-nucleotide ribosomal RNA is filed under the name uncultured Actinomycetes bacterium. Its description in RNAcentral is "bacterial SSU rRNA". It matches the Rfam family "Bacterial small subunit ribosomal RNA", at positions 340 to 793 of the family's 1533-position model. Lineage: Bacteria; Bacillati; Actinomycetota; Actinomycetes. The record is from RNAcentral.